GUGGGCUGGGCCAGCAGUCCUUCCUGCUUUGUGAGGCAGAGAUCAAGACUCCUCUGCUACGUGGAGGGGAGAACAUAAUUUUCAGGGCAGUUUCUCUCACUGAAGUAAAGCAGACCAAACAGAUCCAACAAAGGUAAGCACUCCCCCACUGCUCACUCCGCCCUCUUUCCUAAUGAGUUUCCUGCUUUUGUGGGACAGACCUAGAAGAGCUGCAAAAGAGUAGAAGGUACACGAUCGUCUAGAAAUUGCUUUGGAUUCCAAACCUGGAAAAAUAAGGUUCCAGUUUCCCACGCAAAACUUGUACAACAGGAUCUUCCCAUCGUUUGCUACCUUCCCAUAUUCACUAGUUCCCGGCUUUUAGUUUCGAAAAAAAUCUGUUGUCUGCCUACAAGAAAACUCAAAAGGAGGAAGGGAGAAUUUUUACUGGUGUCCCAUCCUCAGUUCAGAAGGUGAAGGAGCAGGGACAAAAGAGCAUGUGCAAUUUUCCUUGUGAUGAAGAGAGAAGUUAAAACAUGACUGCUCCUACCUACCGAAACCUCUCUCUGUAAACUCAAAUCUGCAUCCUAGACUGCUCUGAGUUCUAUUAAGAAGCUAGACCUUUUUGGACGAGCCUGGCAAUGUCUGUCCCCAUAACUGCUCAUCUGUUCUCAACUGUCUGCUACCACCAUCUAUACAACCAUGUGGUUGGAGACACACUGGAAGAACAUCCGCCAAGCCUUGUUGCUUCUUUUCACUGCUGCUCUUCUCAUCGGGGUCACCAUGCUGGCCAUUUCAUCUAACAUCAACCCAGUAGGCUAUUUCUUCCUAGGGGUGGGGGGAGUGUGUCUGAUCGGCUAUUUGCUGAGUGUGUUUGUUGAGUGUUACCUGAGGAAUCAGCACCGACAUGACACAAAUGAGAUACCUCCAAACAGGCAAAGCCAAGCAGGGGUAAACGCUGCCUAUGAAGCACCCCCCUAUGAGGAGGUGAUGACCAUGUCGGUUCCAGCAAUAUGGACGAUUGCAUCCAAUCCAGGCUUAGUGCCCUCACCGCUGAAUGAGCCGCCUCCCUACAAUGUAGUUAUUGAAUCAUCUGCCCAAGAAGAGAUUAUGGUGGAGGCUCUCAGGGUGUCAGUGGCAGCAGACACAAGGCACACCUCUGAGACAGACACUGGCUCCAGGAUGCAGCUGCAGCUGGUGCUGCCCCCAAGACUGCAGCGGUUUGUUUCGGACAUCCAUGAAGUGAAGGGUAUUGAAGACAGGCUUGAGCCACUGGAGCCACUCACUCCACCACCUGCUUAUGAGAGUGCCAUCAAUGAUGAGGUCUUUGAAGAGGCUUUCCAGCCCUCCUCUGUAUUAUGAUUAAUUUCACCUUCCAUGAAUGCGGAACCAAAUCCUCACCCCAGUACAGGAUGCUCCUAGAGGGAAGGUGAAAGAGCUGAGAUUUUUCACGCCUGAAACCAUAAAAGUUUGUCCCACCAUUCUUUAAACCAGAGCUGAACUACAGACACAGCUUCUGAAGUCACUAGAAUCUUUUUGCACAAAAUACAAAUCAAUGCAAUACCACAAUGCUUUUUCUUGGCAGAUGCAUAAAAACACUGUGAGGAAAGUUGUGUUAUAUAUGGCAACAAUUUUCCAACUGGAGAUACACCUUUAUGGGGGAGGAGAGUGAAUCACGAGAAGUGACAAAGUUGCCAAAGGACCUCUGAAGAAGGACUGUGGGAAGCAGCCAGGAGAAGCUGCCUGGGAAAGGGGAGGAACAGAAACAGCACUAAGUAGGUUCUGCCUGUGCAUUACAAACAGCAGUAUUGUUGAGAGCUGUUCAGCCACCCUAAAAUCCGUAUGGAGAGACUGAGGCUGCAGUUCCCCAAGUUGCUGUUUUGCAGCAACACAAAUUUAUGGUCUGUGCUGUUUGAUGCUACUCCUCUGCUGCACUUGCUCCGCAUCCUCAGCUGUGCCGCACCGCAGUGUAACCGAGGGGAGGGUGGCUGUCUUCAUCUGGAAGCUGGCACCACCUGAUACCUGUCACUUGGGGUUGAAAAGCUGAUGCCGAGCAUGGCACCAUGAAAGAACUAUUGUUCACAAGGUUCUCGUCCCACACAGCCUGCAGUGGUGGACAAGAGGGAGAUAAUAGCAGUUUUUCUCCCACAAGAAAGUCCAGCAGUGGAACACAUACACAUAUAUGCAUCCUCUGCCUGGACUGCCAGUCUGCGGAGCUGUACAGGAGGGUGUAUUUCUCUGCUGUACUACAUCCCCAAGCAUUGAUAGCUUGAGGUACCUUACUGUCAUCCUGGAGAGUUCUCCAGUUCUCCGUAGCAAUGCUGUGCACGGAGGCUUCUCUCUGGACUCUGGAAAGGGCCGCUCUGUCUGACAAGGCCACAGCUGCGACGGACGGCACCUGAGAAUCACAGUCCCGAGGCAUAUGCAUUCAUCAUCAUGACAGCUCUAGGCUGCAGCCAGGUUCUACCUCCACUGAUCACUGAUCAGUGAUGCUGUGUGGUCGUUUAAAACGGGUGAGUUAAGCUGAUAGGCUCUGCAGCACUAAAGUGGUCUGCAGUAUGCAAAGAGACAUUCAUGUCUGGUGAAUGUCCAAAUAAAAUAAAAAAAGAAAUAUGGUGGUCCGAAUCUCCUUAUGAAGGAGAGCAGCAAUCAUCACAGCCUUGUCUCAUACGACUGUGUCAUCUUUAAUUCAUAUGAGGAACCGUCAAACCAUAGGCUAGAAGCAAAUAAAUUAUUUCUGUUUGAUUCUUUAUAGUUCAAACUAAAAAAAGACCUUUUAUGUUGUUUAUAAAUAAACAGGACCGCAUUAAAAAUACCUGGUGUCAUCACUAGUU
Molecule: long non-coding RNA, 2810 nt
Filed under: Buteo japonicus
Lineage: Eukaryota; Metazoa; Chordata; Aves; Accipitriformes; Accipitridae
Description: lncRNA (ENSBJAG00000013767.1)
Source: RNAcentral